This 21-nucleotide microRNA is filed under the name Zea mays. RNAcentral's name for it is "zma-miR399j-5p". Its record names the gene zma-miR399j-5p. The record is from miRBase by way of RNAcentral. Lineage: Eukaryota; Viridiplantae; Streptophyta; Magnoliopsida; Poales; Poaceae.
AGGCAGCUCUCCUCUGGCAGG